This is a long non-coding RNA of Varroa destructor (honeybee mite), 695 nucleotides long. RefSeq lists it as uncharacterized. The record is from RefSeq and is a predicted model, not a curated record. NCBI's taxonomy places the organism in Eukaryota, Metazoa, Arthropoda, Arachnida, Mesostigmata, Varroidae.
CGGGAGUAAAGCUUGCUGUAACCGAACUUCCCACUCACGCCUGUGAUCAGCAGCCGCAGCAGAUAUUAUAGUAGGAAAAGUCAAGCAUCACGGGUUCACCCCGGAGGAAAAAGAAGUUUCCUCUACGUAUUUGGUAAAGCUUGAAACGAGCGUUCCAUUGUGAGCUCGUAGAGUCUCGUGAAACCGAUGCUGCAUAACGCUCUGGAUGGCAAUCAACAGUUCAGUGGAAGGAAAGGGCCGUUUAGGAGGCAAGAAGAGGCAUCAAGAAGCGACAGUGCAGAACGAAACUAUAGUGGGCCCCUUUGGGCGGUUAUGGGUGACGAUCGCUAGACUCGUGACACCCUAUGCAGACAAUAUGUACAUAGAGAGGGAAUGAAUGAAGAUAACAACAGCUACACAUUUAUCAUAGAUAAGAGUCCAGAUAGAAACGCUUGGUAACCCGUGCCUCAACGGCUUCAAGUAUGCAUAUAGUGAUGAGAAUAUUGACAAAUUUCAAGCGCACUGUUCCUUAUUGAUUGUUGAUCUCUAUCGGAAACUAUUGAUUACGAGGAGACGCCAGGUGGAAAAUUUGCUCUUCCGCUUUUUUUCUACCCAAAUAACGAUGGAUCGAAUUAAAAGGUUUUGGCUCUAGAGUUUUCACAAUGCGACAUCUUUUUGAUACAAUCGAGUUUUUUUAGUAGAAUUUAGAAAUAAUA